CUUCCCUGCUCACACACGCUUACCAUGCAGCCAUGGGGGUGGAGAGAUGCUAUGUAGUUAAACCCAAGGCAGCCUGUGGAUACAACACUUCCAGCGUGACACUCGCAGAGAACGGCAAAAGCUCAGCCUCAAAUACACACACACACACACACACACAUAGAACAGCAGAUCUCAACAGGAUACUGCAGUCAGUCACAGGCACAUGAGCACUGGAGGAAAUGGAGUGAGAAGAAAAAGGAAGAGACAAAUCACACACAUGCCAUGUGUGCAGAGAAGCAGAUUGUCCGCUAUCAGCGGUGAUGGUGCGCGGAGGAAGAAUGCGAGCAUACAGCGAAGUCAAACAAAAGUUCCUCAGAUGACAAUUCCUGAAACAGAAUAGGAUGGACUUGCUAAAACCGAAUCCCGCACUCAUCCUGCAUCGCAGUACAGAGACGUUAAUGGAGCUCUGACUCUCUUUCGGUGUAUUUGCGGCUCUUGAAGAGGCUGAACGAAGGGGGAAGUCAAGGACCCCGCACAUGCAGGCAGCGCUCAGCCAUGAGGAAAUACUCUUUUCACCCAGACAGAGGUUAUCCAGACAGGCUCAAUCUAUUCAGAUCACAUGAUGCUUCAUUUCAAUAUAGGGAUUCGUCACAUAGAAAAACUAAUGAAGAACUGAAGAAAGCCUGAAGCCCCCCAGAGAACUCGGUUCAUUAAGUCUUCACACAAUCUGAGUACAAUAUUGACAGAAAUACCUUGCAGGAAUGCUGUAGCACAUCUCUCACAGUCCUCGCUUUGUGUUACGUGUC
Cyprinus carpio carpio is the source of this 785-nucleotide long non-coding RNA. Lineage: Eukaryota; Metazoa; Chordata; Actinopteri; Cypriniformes; Cyprinidae. The record is from Ensembl.